GACGAACGCUGGCGGCGUGCUUAACACAUGCAAGUCGAACGGAAAGGCCUGCUUUCCCUUGUGGAUUGCGGGUGCUCGAGUGGCGAACGGGUGAGUAACACGUGAGUGAUCUGCCCCCAACUUGGGUAUAAGCCUGGGAAACUGGGUCUAAUUCCCGAUAGGACUGCAGGGUGGUGCCUGUGGUGGAAAACGAUUUUCUAGUGGUUGGGGAUGAGCUCGCGGCCUAUCAGCUUGUUGGUGGGGUAAUGGCCUACCAAGGCGGCGACGGGUAGCCGGCCUGGGAGGGUGGACGGCCACAUUGGGACUGGGAUACGGCCCAGACUCCUACGGGAGGCAGGAGUGGGGAAUAUUGCACAAUGGGCGGAAGCCUGAUGCAGCGACGCCGCGUGGGGGAUGACGGCCUUCGGGUUGUAAACUCCUUUCGACCGCGAGGAAGCCACCUGGUUGGAAGGGUGGUGACGGUAGUGGUAGAAGAAGCACCGGCUAACUACGUG
Molecule: ribosomal RNA, 494 nt
Filed under: uncultured bacterium
Lineage: Bacteria
Description: partial 16S ribosomal RNA
Rfam family: Bacterial small subunit ribosomal RNA
Source: RNAcentral